GGAGCCGAACCGGACCGGGACAGCCGGGCCCAGCGGGGCCGGGACAGCCGGGCCCAGCGGGGAAAGCAGAGCGGAGCGGGCCGGAUACGAGCCGAGCAGAACCGGGCUGAGCCAAACCGGACUGGGCCGCGAGCAGCCGAAAGCGCUCGGGCCGAACCGAGCGGAACCGGGAGUACCGAACCCGCUGGGACCGAGCCGAGUGGAACCGGGAGUACCGAACCCGUUGGGACCGAGCCGAGUGGAACCGGGAGUACCGAACCCGCUGGGACCGAGCCGAGCGGAACCGGGAUUACCGAACCUGCUCGGGCCGAGCGGAGCGGAACCGGGAGUAACCGGGAGUACCGAACCGAGCGGAACCGGGAUUACCGACCCGCUAGUACCGAACCCGAGCGGAACCGGGAGUACCGAACCGAGCGGGACCGGGAGUACCGAACCCGAGCGGAACCGGGAGUACCGAGCCCGUUCGGACCGGCCAUGGGGCAGAUCGAGUGGGCCAUGUGGGCGAACGAGCAGGCGCUCGCCGCCGGGCUCAUCCUGCUGACCGGCGGGAUCGUGGCGGUGGCGGGGCAGUUCCAGGGCUGGUACUUCGCGGCCUAUUCCAUCGCGGCGGGGGUUCUGGUCUGCCUGCUCGAGUACCCCAGGAGCAAACGGAAAAAGGGCUCCACCAUGGAGAGGUGUGGUCAGAAGUACCUGACAGCCGUGGUGAAGCUGCUGGGGCCCCUCACCAGGAAUUAUUACAUCCGAGCCGUCCUUCACGCCGUCCUGGCUGUGCCUGCCGGAUUCCUCCUCUCCACCAUCCUGGGCACCGUCUGCCUGGGCAUCGCCAGCGGCAUCUACCUGCUGGCUGCAGUCCGAGGGGAGGAGUGGAGACCCAUCGAGCAGAAGCCCCGGGAGCGGCCACAAGUGGGGGGCACCAUCAAGCAGCCCCCCAGCAACCCCCCGCCCCGACCACCCCCCGACGCCCGCAGGAAGCAGCCGGAGGUGGGGGGGCAGGUGAACCCCAUCCCUGUGGAGGUGGAAUAAUGGGGGGUCCUCCUGCCCCGCUGCUCCUGCUCCUGCUUCCCAGCUGCUCCUGGGGAUCCCCAAAUCCCUGGGGGUGCUGAGCUCCUGCUGGGGGUCCCCCACUCCUGGUGAUGCUCAGAUCUGUGGGAUCAUCAGUUCCCCCUGGGCUCCCCCAAAUUCCCAAAUCUGGGGUCCCCAGCUCCUGGGCAUCUCCAGAUCCCCAGCAAUGCUCAGCUCCCUGUAGGAUCUCCGUCUCCCACAGAUCCCCAGAUCCCUUAAGAAGCUCAGCUCCCAAAUUCCCAGUGAUGGGAUGCUCCUUGUGGGGUUUCCAGCCCUCGGGGGCUUCCCAGUUUCAGGAGAUUCCCAAAUCCCUGGGCCUGCUCAACUCCCAGUGGGGUCUCCAGCUCCCAGGAACUCCCCAGCUCCUGGACCUCCCCAAAUCCCUAAGAAUCUUCAGCUUCCUGUGGGAUCUGCAGCCCCCAAGGCCUUCCCUAAGGAUCCCCCAAAUCCUUGGGGAGUCUCAGCUCCCUGUGAGUCUCCAGUUCCUGGGAAACUCUGGAUCCCUGGGCAUGCUCAGCUCCCUGAGGGUCCCAACUCCCCGGGCACCCCCAGUUCCCUGGGGGAUCCCCAAAUCCCUGUGGAACUCCAGCUUUCAGGGAAUCCCCAGCUCCCGGGGGGAUCAGGCAGCUCUGCUCCCGCUCUCCUUGGUUUUUGUCCUUUCUGCAGUUGCUGUUGCAAUAAAAAGUGGGAAAGGCAGUGGCUGCCCCUGCCUCCUGCUCCAGGGGAACCCUCCCAGUCCUGCCCUGCUCCUGGGGGGCUGGGACAGGACUGGGGAGGUGUUUUGGGGACAAACGGUGCAGUUGUGGGUAAAUCCAGGAUGUCGGUGUGCAGAGUAUGGCCACGGCAGGGUCCCCUCCCAAAAUCCUUAUGGAGCCACAGUGGGGUGGAAUGGGGGGGGGCCCUGCACUGGGGGUGCACAGGGAGUCCCAAAGGAGCCCCCAAAACCGGGGGUAACCCCAGCAGGGAAUGUGGGGAGCAUUUCCCUUCCCAGUCCCACACGUGGGUGCUGCACGUUCUCCGGUGCGAUGUGGGUGCCAAAUCCCAAAUCCUUGAUCCCACUGGGAUCAGCAGCUGCUCCAGGUAGUGCUCCAGGCCCCUCAGGGGCUGCAGGUGGCCCAGAGGCCCCCGAGGUGCUGCCAGCACCCUGGCAGGUGGCACCAGCUCCGUGGGAAAGGUGUGGGUGUCGGGGUGCCAGGGCUGGGUCCCCCCCGGGGCUGGGGGUGUUGUGGGGCACCCCCGUGCCCUGCUGCCCUCCCCAUCACCUCCCAGUUCAUCCUGCCCUGCUGCACUGGUGCUCUGCCCACCCUGAGGGGUGUCCCAGCGCCGGGCAUUGCCCAGGGAUGUGCCCCAAUUCCCAACAUCCCAAUGCCCCGGGAGCAGAGCGAGGACUGUGCCAGGAGCUGUUAGCUUUUAUUGGCAGCAUUAAACAGCACUAGGAAGGAGACAAUAAAUACCUUUUU
This 2522-nucleotide long non-coding RNA is filed under the name Taeniopygia guttata (zebra finch). RNAcentral's name for it is "lncRNA (ENSTGUG00000025413.1)". Lineage: Eukaryota; Metazoa; Chordata; Aves; Passeriformes; Estrildidae. The record is from RNAcentral.